This 59-nucleotide transfer RNA is filed under the name Lepas australis. RNAcentral describes it as "tRNA-Ser". Lineage: Eukaryota; Metazoa; Arthropoda; Thecostraca; Lepadidae. The record is from RNAcentral.
GAAAAUGAAAACUAUGGGAGCUUCUAACUCCCGUCCUUGCAAUUUGUGUAACAUUUUUC